RNAcentral lists this ribosomal RNA (587 nucleotides) under uncultured bacterium. RNAcentral describes it as "partial 16S ribosomal RNA". It matches the Rfam family "Bacterial small subunit ribosomal RNA", at positions 355 to 1375 of the family's 1533-position model. The record is from RNAcentral.
UGGGGAAUUUUGGACAAUGGGCGAAAGCCUGAUCCAGCAAUGCCGCGUGUGUGAAGAAGGCCUUCGGGUUGUAAAGCACUUUUGUCCGGAAAGAAAUCCUCUGGGUUAAUACCUCGGGGGGAUGACGGUACCGGAAGAAUAAGCACCGGCUAACUACGUGCCAGCAGCCGCGGUAAUACGUAGGGUGCAAGCGUUAAUCGGAAUUACUGGGCGUAAAGCGUGCGCAGGCGGUUUUGUAAGACGGAUGUGAAAUCCCCGGGCUUAACCUGGGAACUGCAUUCGUGACUGCAAGGCUAGAGUAUGGCAGAGGGGGGUUAGAAUUCCACGUGUAGCAGUGAAAUGCGUAGAGAUGUGGAGGAAUACCGAUGGCGAAGGCAGCCCCCUGGGCCAAUACUGACGCUCAUGCACGAAAGCGUGGGGAGCAAACAGGAUUAGAUACCCUGGUAGUCCACGCCCUAAACGAUGUCAACUAGUUGUUGGGGAUUCAUUUCCUUAGUAACGUAGCUAACGCGUGGAGUUGACCGCCUGGGGGAGUACGGUCGCAAGAUUAAAACUCAAAGGAAUUGACGGGGUCAUAGCUGUUUCCU